This is a long non-coding RNA of Drosophila guanche, 561 nucleotides long. RefSeq lists it as uncharacterized. The record is from RefSeq and is a predicted model, not a curated record. NCBI's taxonomy places the organism in Eukaryota, Metazoa, Arthropoda, Insecta, Diptera, Drosophilidae. The transcript has 3 exons.
AACUGAGCUAAAUUAAAACCAAAAUUAAAUUUGAGACUUGCUCGGUAAGAGAUUCGCAACACAAAAAUCGAAAUCGAACUGUGUUUAUUAUUAUCGCUCAUGAUAAUGAAUAAACACAAUUAAUAAGUAUACUGACGUGCUUCCGCACUUGAUUUCCGGAUCUGUCUUCUGACACUGCUUUUGGGUUCAGCUCAGAUCGGACGAGUUCAGCGCUCAAUCUCGUCGGAUUCCAAGUGCUGUCUCUGCUUCCACGGCUUAGUCAUGCAACGGCACUGACCUUGCCCGAUGUCAAACACCCGUAUCGCAUUUUAAUUUGAUGCUCUCUGGGCGAUCGCUUUUGGGUGUUGUCAUGGCUUGUGGCGGAACAGAAGAGUGGGAUAGUGAAGUAUUUCAGUGCUUCGUUUCUCCGGACACGCCCUUAAAUAUACGCAUAAUAUAUUUGCAUUUUGCAAAUUACAUGCUCAACAAAGGCAGGAACAGCAACAGCAACUCCAUCUGUUUGACGUUUUCCGGUUGCCAGCAACAAAAUAAAAGUUUCUACAUAACCACCCGUACUUACAA